RNAcentral lists this unclassified non-coding RNA (143 nucleotides) under uncultured Tremella. RNAcentral describes it as "sequence contains ITS2". The record is from RNAcentral. Lineage: Eukaryota; Fungi; Basidiomycota; Tremellomycetes; Tremellales; Tremellaceae.
AGACUCAACCCCUCGGGUUUUUGCCCGGGGUGAGUUGGAUUUGGGCCUUGCCUGACCGGCUGGCCUUAAAAGUGUUAGUGGAUUCGCACAGACGUUGUAAGCACUCGUCGAGGCGGCCCGCUCAUAACCCCCCAUAUUUUGCA